RNAcentral lists this ribosomal RNA (355 nucleotides) under uncultured Halomonas sp. RNAcentral describes it as "bacterial SSU rRNA". It matches the Rfam family "Bacterial small subunit ribosomal RNA", at positions 138 to 488 of the family's 1533-position model. The record is from RNAcentral. Lineage: Bacteria; Pseudomonadati; Pseudomonadota; Gammaproteobacteria; Oceanospirillales; Halomonadaceae.
GGGGGAUAACCUGGGGAAACCCAGGCUAAUACCGCAUACGUCCUACGGGAGAAAGCAGGGGAUCUUCGGACCUUGCGCUAUCGGAUGAGCCUAUGUCGGAUUAGCUUGUUGGUGAGGUAAUGGCUCACCAAGGCGACGAUCCGUAGCUGGUCUGAGAGGAUGAUCAGCCACAUCGGGACUGAGACACGGCCCGAACUCCUACGGGAGGCAGCAGUGGGGAAUAUUGGACAAUGGGCGAAAGCCUGAUCCAGCCAUGCCGCGUGUGUGAAGAAGGCUUUCGGGUUGUAAAGCACUUUCAGUGAGGAAGAAGGCCUUGGGGCUAAUACCCCCGAGGAAGGACAUCACCCACAGCGGG